CUGCUCUGCUGAGGGAUGGGGCGGUGGAGUGGAGGCUGUGAUCAAAGGCAGUGGUUCUGUUUCUCUAAGGAAUGGCUUCCUAUUUUAGGACCUGUCACUGGAACAGGAUGGCCUCCGGCCAGCCAGCCUCACUGUGGGGAAGCGACUGUAUUCAGGAAUUAAAAUGUCACAGGCCCAUCGCAGGAGGGCCUCCAUCUGGGCCUCGCUGACAUUUACGCCCGUGUCUGCCCUUCCAGCCCCAGAGCAACAGGAGAGGGUGAGAAAAGUCGCUCGGGCUCACCCUUUCGGAGCCAUGGAGAUGAUCAACGAAACAAUAAAUGAAAUCCUGAUUGGUAGCUCUGCCAAUUUCCAAGGUGUAAAUCAACCAUGGUCAAAUAUAAGCUACCAAUGGGACAUCAGCGCAGCACACAAGAAUUGUGUGGGGAAGUGCACAGUCGUAUAUCAUUGUAUGUACUUCCACAAUACAGAGACAAUACAUGCAAAUACCCUCAAGAGGAGAGAUUAUAGUAAAAUAAAGUUCUAUUGGACAGAACUGCUCCCGAAAGUUUCAAAAGAGGCUUCUGCCCUGAGGAACUUUCCUUUCCUUCCCUCAUCGUGUCAGUAAUACAGAGUAGACCCCAGACUGGGAGGCAGAGCACCUACUGCAGCACUGGACAGGCUGGCUUGCUGUGUGACUUUGGGUAAAUGCCUCACCUCUCUGGGCUAUAGUGUCAAUAA
Non-coding RNA from Vicugna pacos (alpaca), 717 nucleotides. Lineage: Eukaryota; Metazoa; Chordata; Mammalia; Artiodactyla; Camelidae. The record is from RefSeq and is a predicted model, not a curated record.